Molecule: long non-coding RNA, 363 nt
Filed under: Androctonus crassicauda
Lineage: Eukaryota; Metazoa; Arthropoda; Arachnida; Scorpiones; Buthidae
Source: RNAcentral
AUCGGUACAAUCAAUAUUGUGUGUGCAAUGCAUUUAUAUCAGCAUAUUGAUGCUGCAUUUAUGCCUGUGAGACUCGGAUUUAAUCUCAGUUUAUGCAAUUGUAUGGUAUGUCAGUCAAUAAACUUAUUAAAAACUCAUAAAAUCAGUUAAAACUGUUAUGAGCACUGGAUCUAUUUUGUACGUGCGCGGAGUAUUAUGCAACAUUGACGCAAUAACACAUCACCCUCAGGCGUCCCUUACCCCGAGGGAACAAAGAGAGGUCAGUCAGAGGUCAGUGUGCUGGUCAGUAACGACGCAACCGUUCUUUUUUUGUAAAAGUGCCUUUGUUCUUUCAUUAAAGUUCUUGUUAAUACAAAUCCUGUG